RNAcentral lists this ribosomal RNA (384 nucleotides) under Triticum aestivum (bread wheat). RNAcentral's name for it is "partial small subunit ribosomal RNA". Lineage: Eukaryota; Viridiplantae; Streptophyta; Magnoliopsida; Poales; Poaceae. The record is from RNAcentral.
AUGUUUGUGCCUUUGAAUGUCGACCCCUCCGUCUCUCAACUAAUCGCCCAAGCUCUGGGGUGUGCGAUAGCCAGCUUUCCUAAAACCUAUCUAGGCCUUCCCCUAUCACCUCACAAGCUACCCCCCUUAGCUUUCCAGCCAAUCAUCUCUUCUUGCAGGAGUCUCCUACCUGGCUGGUGUGCAAAGCUUCUCAACCGUGCAGGUCGCCUUGUCCUCAUUUCUUCGGUCCUCGACUCCCUGGCUACGUACUUUAUGUCCGUUUUCAAACUGCCAAAAAAGGUUAUCAAAAUGUUAGACUCCAUUCGUAGAGCGUUCUUUUGGGCUGCUGAGGAAACGUGCACCGGCUCCAGAUGUUUAAUUGCAUGGAAAAACGUUUGCAAACCU